RNAcentral lists this ribosomal RNA (367 nucleotides) under uncultured archaeon. RNAcentral describes it as "bacterial SSU rRNA". It matches the Rfam family "Archaeal small subunit ribosomal RNA", at positions 451 to 818 of the family's 1478-position model. The record is from RNAcentral.
UCUGGUGUCAGCCGCCGCGGUAAUACCAGCUCUCCGAGUGGUAGGGAUGAUUAUUGGGCUUAAAGCGUCCGUAGCCGGCUUAGCAAGUCUCCUGUUAAAUUCAGCGACCUAAUCGUUGAGCCGCGGGAGAUACUACUAGGCUAGGAGGCGGGAGAGGCCGGCGGUAUUCUCGGGGUAGGGGUGAAAUCCUAUAAUCCCGGGAGGACCACCAGUGGCGAAGGCUGUCGGCUAGAACGCGCUCGACGGUGAGGGACGAAAGCUGGGGGAGCGAACCGGAUUAGAUACCCGGGUAGUCCCAGCUGUAAACGAUGCGGGCUAGGUGUUGGGGUGGCUACGAGCCACUUCAGUGCCGCAGGGAAGCCAUUAA